AGGACGACGCUGGCGGCGUGCCUAAUACAUGCAAGUCGAACGGUCUUUCUAUGGAAGCUUGCUUCCACUGAGAAGAUAGUGGCGAACGGGUGAGUAACACGGUGGGUAACCUGCCCAUAAGAGGGGGGAUAACAUCCGGAAACGGGUGCUAAUACCGCAUAGUUUUCUUGAUUGCAUGAUCGGGAAAGGAAAGACGGCCUUUGUGCUGUCGCUUAUGGAUGGACCCGCGGCGUAUUAGUUAGUUGGUGAGGUAACGGCUCACCAAGACGAUGAUACGUAGCCGACCUGAGAGGGUGAUCGGCCACAUUGGGACUGAGACACGGCCCAAACUCCUACGGGAGGCAGCAGUAGGGAAUCUUCCGCAAUGGACGAAAGUCUGACGGAGCAACGCCGCGUGAGUGAAAGAAGGUUUUCGGAUCGUAAAACUCUGUUGUCAGAGAAGAACAAGUUGGAGAGUAACUGCUCCAGCCUUGACGGUAUCUGACCAGAAAGCCACGGCUAACUACGUGCCAGCCGCCGC
Molecule: ribosomal RNA, 520 nt
Filed under: uncultured bacterium
Lineage: Bacteria
Description: bacterial SSU rRNA
Rfam family: Bacterial small subunit ribosomal RNA
Source: RNAcentral